GAUGAACGCUGGCGGCGUGCCUAGUACAUGCAAGUCGAGCGAACAGACGAGGAGCUUGCUCCUCUGACGUUAGCGGCGGACGGGUGAGUAACACGUGGAUAACCUACCUAUAAGACUGGGAUAACUUCGGGAAACCGGAGCUAAUACCGGAUAAUAUAUUGAACCGCAUGGUUCAAUAGUGAAAGACGGUUUUGCUGUCACUUAUAGAUGGAUCCGCGCCGCAUUAGCUAGUUGGUAAGGUAACGGCUUACCAAGGCAACGAUGCGUAGCCGACCUGAGAGGGUGAUCGGCCACACUGGAACUGAGACACGGUCCAGACUCCUACGGGAGGCAGCAGUAAGGAAUCUUCCGCAAUGGGCGAAAGCCUGACGGAGCAACGCCGCGUGAGUGAUGAAGGUCUUCGGAUCGUAAAACUCUGUUAUUAGGGAAGAACAAAUGUGUAAGUAACUAUGCACGUCUUGACGGUACCUAAUCAGAAAGCCACGGCUAACUACGUG
RNAcentral lists this ribosomal RNA (497 nucleotides) under uncultured bacterium. Its description in RNAcentral is "partial 16S ribosomal RNA". It matches the Rfam family "Bacterial small subunit ribosomal RNA", at positions 28 to 507 of the family's 1533-position model. The record is from RNAcentral.